This 395-nucleotide ribosomal RNA is filed under the name uncultured bacterium. RNAcentral describes it as "bacterial SSU rRNA". It matches the Rfam family "Bacterial small subunit ribosomal RNA", at positions 358 to 770 of the family's 1533-position model. The record is from RNAcentral.
GGAAUCUUAGACAAUGGGCGCAAGCCUGAUCUAGCCAUGCCGCGUGAGUGACGAAGGCCUUAGGGUCGUAAAGCUCUUUCGCCAGAGAUGAUAAUGACAGUAUCUGGUAAAGAAACCCCGGCUAACUCCGUGCCAGCAGCCGCGGUAAUACGGAGGGGGUUAGCGUUGUUCGGAAUUACUGGGCGUAAAGCGCACGUAGGCGGAUUAGAAAGUUGGGGGUGAAAUCCCGGGGCUCAACCCCGGAACUGCCUCCAAAACUACUAGUCUAGAGUUCGAGAGAGGUGAGUGGAAUUCCAAGUGUAGAGGUGAAAUUCGUAGAUAUUUGGAGGAACACCAGUGGCGAAGGCGGCUCACUGGCUCGAUACUGACGCUGAGGUGCGAAAGCGUGGGUAGCA